AGCAGCCGCGGUAAUUCCAGCUCCAAUAGCGUAUAUUAAAGUUGUUGCAGUUAAAAAGCUCGUAGUUGAAUUUCGAGACCGGUUUACUGGUCGUGCUUUUGUACGUACUGGUAUUAUUGGUUUCUCCUUUCUGACGAAUCAUAAUGCCAUUAAUUUGGUGUUUUGGGGAAUCAGGACUGUUACUUUGAAAAAAUUAGAGUGUUUAAAGCAGGCUCACGCUUGAAUACAUUAGCAUGGAAUAACGAAAUAGGACGUUUGAUUUUAUUUUGUUGGUUUCUAGGAUCGACGUAAUGAUUAAUAGGGAUAGUUGGGGGCAUUAGUAUUCAAUUGUCAGAGGUGAAAUUCUUGGAUUUAUUGAAGACUAACUACUGCGAAAGCAUUUGCCAAGGAUGUUUUC
Molecule: ribosomal RNA, 397 nt
Filed under: uncultured Glomus
Lineage: Eukaryota; Fungi; Glomeromycota; Glomeromycetes; Glomerales; Glomeraceae
Description: SSU rRNA
Rfam family: Eukaryotic small subunit ribosomal RNA
Source: RNAcentral